This 434-nucleotide unclassified non-coding RNA is filed under the name soil metagenome. RNAcentral describes it as "partial contains 5.8S ribosomal RNA, internal transcribed spacer 2, and large subunit ribosomal RNA". The stretch from base 1 to 121 matches the Rfam family "5.8S ribosomal RNA", at positions 35 to 154 of the family's 154-position model. The record is from RNAcentral.
GAUGAAGAAACGUAGCGAAAUGCGAUACGUAAUGUGAAUUGCAGAAUUCAGUGAAUCAUCGAAUCUUUGAACGCAUAUUGCGCUCUCUGGUAUUCCGGAGAGCAUGCUUGUUUGAGUAUCAGUAAACACCUCAACUCCCCUUUCUUUUUUUGAAAUGGGAGCUGGACUUGAGUGAUCCCAACGCUUUUCUCACCGAAAAGUGGCGGGUUACUUGAAAUGCAGGUGCAGCUGGACUUUUCUCUGAGCUAAAAGCAUAUCUAUUUAGUCUGCCUAAAAAACAGAUUAUUACCUUUGCUGCAGCUAACAUAAAGGAGAUUAGUUCUUGUGCUGACUGAUGCAGGAUUCACAGAGACAGCUUCGGCUGGCCUUUGUAAACUCGAUCUCAAAUCAAGUAAGACUACCCGCUGAACUUAAGCAUAUCAAUAAGCGGAGGA